AUACGGAGGGUGCGAGCGUUAAUCGGAAUUACUGGGCGUAAAGCGUACGUAGGCGGUUGGUUAAGUUAGAUGUGAAAGCCCCGGGCUUGACCUGGGAACUGCAUUUAAAACUGGCGAACUAGAGUUGAGUAGAGGGGAGUGGAAUUUCAGGUGUAGCGGUGAAAUGCGUAGAGAUCUGAAGGAACACCAGUGGCGAAGGCGACUCCCUGGACUCGAACUGACGCUGAGGUACGAAAGCGUGGGUAGCAAACGGGAUUAGAAACCCUAGUAGUCC
RNAcentral lists this ribosomal RNA (274 nucleotides) under uncultured bacterium. RNAcentral's name for it is "partial 16S ribosomal RNA". It matches the Rfam family "Bacterial small subunit ribosomal RNA", at positions 523 to 796 of the family's 1533-position model. The record is from RNAcentral.